CAGCCGCCGCGGUAAUACGUAGGUGGCAAGCGUUGUCCGGAAUUAUUGGGCGUAAAGCGCGCGCAGGCGGAUAGGUCAGUCUGUCCUAAAAGUUCGGGGCUUAACCCCGUAAUGGGAUGGAAACUGCCAAUCUAGAGUAUCGGAGAGGAAAGUGGAAUUCCUAGUGUAGCGGUGAAAUGCGUAGAUAUUAGGAAGAACACCAGUGGCGAAGGCGACUUUCUGGACGAAAACUGACGCUGAGGCGCGAAAGCCUGGGGAGCGAACGGGAUUAGAUACCCGCGUAGUCCCUGUCUCUUAUACA
Molecule: ribosomal RNA, 301 nt
Filed under: uncultured bacterium
Lineage: Bacteria
Description: partial 16S ribosomal RNA
Rfam family: Bacterial small subunit ribosomal RNA
Source: RNAcentral